This is a non-coding RNA of Paramuricea clavata, 254 nucleotides long. Lineage: Eukaryota; Metazoa; Cnidaria; Anthozoa; Malacalcyonacea; Plexauridae. The record is from the annotation of a GenBank genome assembly.
CCCAAGUCCAGUCAAAUCACUAUAAGUACAUGGUCCUGAUCAAAGUAAUCGCAAUAGAUUUGUUUUCAGUGGUAAAGUGUGAGAAAAGUUGUUCUGAUUAACAUACUAAAAAUCAAAAAAAAUCCCUUCGGUGGAACAUGGUGAAAAUCGAGUUUUUCUUGCUUCUACCUAUAGAAAACCCUUGUGGACAGAAUGUUGAAAUUUUGAAAUCAUUUUUAGGAAAAUGUAACCUACAUUAUUGGAAAGCUUAGAAA